RNAcentral lists this ribosomal RNA (657 nucleotides) under Salmonella enterica. RNAcentral describes it as "bacterial SSU rRNA". It matches the Rfam family "Bacterial small subunit ribosomal RNA", at positions 886 to 1533 of the family's 1533-position model. The record is from RNAcentral. Lineage: Bacteria; Pseudomonadati; Pseudomonadota; Gammaproteobacteria; Enterobacterales; Enterobacteriaceae.
CCGCAAGGUUAAAACUCAAAUGAAUUGACGGGGGCCCGCACAAGCGGUGGAGCAUGUGGUUUAAUUCGAUGCAACGCGAAGAACCUUACCUGGUCUUGACAUCCACAGAACUUUCCAGAGAUGGAUUGGUGCCUUCGGGAACUGUGAGACAGGUGCUGCAUGGCUGUCGUCAGCUCGUGUUGUGAAAUGUUGGGUUAAGUCCCGCAACGAGCGCAACCCUUAUCCUUUGUUGCCAGCGGUCCGGCCGGGAACUCAAAGGAGACUGCCAGUGAUAAACUGGAGGAAGGUGGGGAUGACGUCAAGUCAUCAUGGCCCUUACGACCAGGGCUACACACGUGCUACAAUGGCGCAUACAAAGAGAAGCGACCUCGCGAGAGCAAGCGGACCUCAUAAAGUGCGUCGUAGUCCGGAUUGGAGUCUGCAACUCGACUCCAUGAAGUCGGAAUCGCUAGUAAUCGUGGAUCAGAAUGCCACGGUGAAUACGUUCCCGGGCCUUGUACACACCGCCCGUCACACCAUGGGAGUGGGUUGCAAAAGAAGUAGGUAGCUUAACCUUCGGGAGGGCGCUUACCACUUUGUGAUUCAUGACUGGGGUGAAGUCGUAACAAGGUAACCGUAGGGGAACCUGCGGUUGGAUCACCUCCUUACCUUAAAGAA